This 487-nucleotide ribosomal RNA is filed under the name uncultured bacterium. RNAcentral describes it as "bacterial SSU rRNA". It matches the Rfam family "Bacterial small subunit ribosomal RNA", at positions 28 to 507 of the family's 1533-position model. The record is from RNAcentral.
GACGAACGCUGGCGGCGGGCUUAACACAUGCAAGUCGAAGGAGAAGGUAGAAGCUUGCUUUUACUGGAGACUGGCGGACGGGUGAGUAACGCGUAGAUAACCUGCCUAUAGCUGGGGGAUAACACUGCGAAAGUGGUGCUAAUACCGCAUAAUGCAGCGGGGCCGCAUGGCCAUAGUUGUUAAAGGUUUCGGCCGGCUAUAGAUGGGUCUGCGUGCUAUUAGUUAGUUGGUAGGGUAACGGCCUACCAAGGCGAUGAUAGCUAGGGGGUCUGAGAGGAUGAUCCCCCACACUGGGACUGAGACACGGCCCAGACUCCUACGGGAGGCAGCAGUGAGGAAUCUUGCGCAAUGGGCGAAAGCCUGACGCAGCCACGCCGCGUGCCGGAUGAAGGCCCUAUGGGUUGUAAACGGCUUUUACUAGGGAAGAACGAGGAGGUUUUGAUCUUCUGUGACGGUACCUAGUGAAUAAGCACCGGCUAACUCCGUG